CCUGUGAAACCUAAAAGUUCGAAAAGAGAGAUUCAGCGUCAGUCUGUACAGUAUUCACGAGAGUAGUGAUGUUGGUUAUUUUGGUCGGGUCAAACCUUCCGAUAUUAACUAGCACAUUUUCUUGUUAUUUUAUUGCUGUACCAUUUCCGGCGUGCACUUCUCUCUUAGUAGGACGUCCCGACCCAUUGAGUCUUAGCCUACGGCCCAUCUGGUAGCCUUCAAUAUUUUAUAUUGAAGACCUUUUGGUGUUCUCCUGGCCUAAGUACUCGAUGGUAGUAAACGACAUAGUGUUGAGCCGCAAUUAAUUUUGCGUCCGGCCUUCCGCAAGUUUAAUGACAAAUUCUGUACAUCAUAGACUUUGUGCUAUGUGUAUGGUUUUGUUGGCUGUUUGCAUGGUUGUGCUUUAGGACCGGCUUUUUCGCUUGUCAGGGACGCUUAGGCUUUGGGUACUCACGGGACCCGUCUUGAAACACGGACCAAGGAGUCUAACAUGUACGCGAGUCAUUGGGUAUAUAUUUUCCUUCGGGAACCUAUAUAAAACAAACCUAAAGGCGAAAUAAAAGUAAAGGUUGAA
Molecule: ribosomal RNA, 574 nt
Filed under: Biroia sp. 2 EGC-2017
Lineage: Eukaryota; Metazoa; Arthropoda; Insecta; Hymenoptera; Braconidae
Description: eukaryotic LSU rRNA
Rfam family: Eukaryotic large subunit ribosomal RNA
Source: RNAcentral